UUUCCGUAGGUGAACCUGCGGAAGGAUCAUUACUGAGUGAGGGCCCCUCGGGGUCCAACCUCCCACCCGUGUUUAACGAACCUUGUUGCUUCGGCGGGCCCGCCUCACGGCCGCCGGGGGGCAUCUGCCCCCGGGCCCGCGCACGCCGAGGCCACCUGUGAACGCUGUCUGAAGUAUGCAGUCUGAGACAAUUAUUAAAUUAAUUAAAACUUUCAACAACGGAUCUCUUGGUUCCG
This 236-nucleotide unclassified non-coding RNA is filed under the name plant metagenome. RNAcentral's name for it is "partial contains small subunit ribosomal RNA, internal transcribed spacer 1, and 5.8S ribosomal RNA". The record is from RNAcentral.